AUGGCCCGAGGAAAUCAGCGAGAACUUGCCCGCCAGAAAAACAUGAAGAAAUCCCAGGAAAUUAGCAAGGGAAAAAGAAAAGAGGAUAGCUUGACCACCUCUCAGAGAAAGCAGAGGGACUCUGAGAUAAUGCAACAAAAGCAGAAGGUAGCUAAUGAGAAGAAGUCUAUGCAGACGAGAGAAAAAUGAUGACUGGAAAAACCUGGGUGUUAUUGCCAACUAGGUGUAUCAUAAGCUCUAAGGUCAAAGUUUUGUGGAGGAAACAGUCAUAUGUUAUAUCCUUAUAAAACUAUUUUAAACUUUACCUUUCAGCCUGACUUAGUAUAAUGUUUCAGAACCAUUCUUUAAAGAAUAAAACACUAACCAUUC
Callorhinus ursinus (northern fur seal) is the source of this 369-nucleotide non-coding RNA. The record is from RefSeq and is a predicted model, not a curated record. Lineage: Eukaryota; Metazoa; Chordata; Mammalia; Carnivora; Otariidae.